Molecule: transfer RNA, 61 nt
Filed under: Raivuna sinica
Lineage: Eukaryota; Metazoa; Arthropoda; Insecta; Hemiptera; Dictyopharidae
Description: tRNA-Cys
Source: RNAcentral
AGCUUUAUAUUCAAUUAUGAUAUUAAAUUGCAAAUUUAGUGGUGUUAAUAAACUAAGGCUU